RNAcentral lists this long non-coding RNA (600 nucleotides) under Olea europaea (common olive). RNAcentral describes it as "long non-coding RNA (OEUR_LNC000860)". The record is from RNAcentral. Lineage: Eukaryota; Viridiplantae; Streptophyta; Magnoliopsida; Lamiales; Oleaceae.
CAUCGUGGGUGGUUAUUUUGUGAACAGUUGAGAUGAAGAUAACCAGGUUUUGGCUCUGAUACCAAUUUGAUGUAGAAUGAUUAAUUCAAUAAAGAUAACAAGAAGAGAUAUAGGAGAAGGAAGAAGAAAGGAUGAUCGAGAGUGGGGUUCCAUGAAUAGAGGUGGCGACCACGGAGUGGUCUGAUUUCUGGGUUACUGUGACUGUCUGCAGUUAUUGUUCAUCGUGGGUGGUUAUUUUGUGAACAGUUGAGAUGAAGAUAACCAGGUUUUGGCUCUGAUACCAAUUUGAUGUAGAAUGAUUAAUUCAAUAAAGAUAACAAGAAGAGAUAUAGGAGAAGGAAGAAGAACAAGAAAUAGGGCAGAAGAGGGAGAAGAGAUGGCAGCAGCCAAACCAAUAAUUCUCAAUCAAUUCAUCGUCCAAAAUUACAAACCAAGAUAGGUUUAAAUAAUAAAAACCUAGAAAUAUAGGGCCAAGCCCAUUAUUUAAGUCCUAACUAAAAUACGUAAAUUUAAAUAAAAGUCCAACUGAAACAAUAAUAAAAGUCCAACUAAAAUACUGAAACAAUAAUAAAAGUCCAACUAUAAUGAUGUCCUCAUCAC